GAAGCACUGUGGGGGGCCGCCAAACGGGCGGGCAGGAAAUGGCCCGUCCCCGAGGAGCCCCCUAGAAAGCGACUGCUAACCACGUGCCAGCAGCAGCGGUAAUACGUGGGUCGCAAGCGUUAUCCGGAAUCAUUGGGCGUAAAGAGUGAGCAGGCGGUCCGGGAAGUCCGCGGUGAAAUGCGGGGGCUCAACCCCCGCAGGCCGCGGAUACUUCCGGUCUGGGGUGCGGGAGAGGCGGACGGAACUCCGCGUGUAGCGGUGAAAUGCACUGAUACGCGGAAGAACACCGGUGGCGAAGGCGGUCCGCCAGACCGAUACCGACGCUCAGUCACGAAAGCGUGGGGAGCAAAUAGGAUUAGAUACCCUAGUAGUCCACGCCGUAAACGAUGGGGGCCAGGGCGCGGGGUCGACCCGCGUCCGAAGCAAACGCAUUAAGCCCCCCGCCUGGGUACUACGUUCGCAAGAAUAAAACUUAAAGGAAUUGGCGGGUGCCCGCACAAGCAGUGGAGCAUGCGGUUCAAUUCGUGGCUACACGUAGAACCUUACCAGGGUUUGACAUGCCGGCAAAGGCCCCGGAGACGGGGAGAUAGCUAUGCCGGACAAAGGUGGUGCAUGGCUGUCGUCAGCUCGUGUCGUGAGAUGUUAGGUCAAGUCCUCCAACGAGCGCGACCCCCGCCGCCAGUUGCCAUCAUCAGGUUGGGCACUCUGGCGGGACCGCCGGCGACAAGCCGGAGGAAGGCGGGGAUGACGUCAAGUCAUCAUGCCCCUUAUGCCCUGGGCCACACGCGUGCUACAAUGGCCGGCACAGUGGGAAGCGACGCCGCGAGGCGGAGCGGAUCCCAAAAGCCGGUCCCAGUACGGACCGGGGGCUGCAACCCGCCCCCGCGAAGCUGGAAUUGCUAGUAAUCGCGGAUCAGCCAAGCCGCGGUGAAUGCGUUCUCGGGCAUUGCACACACUGCCCGUCACACCAUGAAAGCCUGCAACGCUCUAAGUCGCCAGCCCGACCCGCGAGGGGGGGCGGCGCCCAAGGCGGGGCCGGUGAUUGGGGUUAAGUCGAAACAAGGUAUCCCUACGAGAACGUGGGGAUG
RNAcentral lists this ribosomal RNA (1088 nucleotides) under human gut metagenome. RNAcentral's name for it is "bacterial SSU rRNA". It matches the Rfam family "Bacterial small subunit ribosomal RNA", at positions 427 to 1520 of the family's 1533-position model. The record is from RNAcentral.